ACUUUUUCAUGAAAACGUCCUUUAACAGAGAGGUCAAAUGGCAUGAUCAGAUAGUCAAAACGAACAAAAACGUGUGAAAAAUAUAAACUGGACAAAAAGCUCAGUGGUUCUUGGUAAUUUUCGCCGUUUGUGGUAAAUUUGAAUCCCAGGUCGCGGGGGUUGAAAGGCAUGGGGGAGCAGAGGACGGGGACUGGCAGCCCUGGAUCUCCUCCUCCAAUGGGAUAAUGCUGCCAGCCGCUGUGCCUGCUGGCUGUGUGGACUCCACACGGCCGUGGGGAGCCCCUUCCCUACUACUCUGGGCUUUCACAGUACACUUCCUGAAGAGGAGCCACGCUCUGUAUGCUGACCUUCAAUGGACUGAAGUCAUUUUCUGAAAGAGGGAG
Molecule: long non-coding RNA, 383 nt
Organism: Oncorhynchus keta (chum salmon)
Lineage: Eukaryota; Metazoa; Chordata; Actinopteri; Salmoniformes; Salmonidae
Exons: 3
Source: RefSeq, a predicted model, not a curated record